CAAAGUGAAACUAUUUGCCCAACCCCGUGGUUGCCUUAGAGACUUGCUGCAAACAACAGAUAGAAGCAUGAGCUUCGUAUGAGGAAUGUCCAAAGGACAAGUAUGUGAGUCUUGAAAACAGAAAAAUGAAACAACAUGAUUGCAACAUCUGUCAAAGGAGUAUGAUGCACAAACAGUGCUAGGUGUCCGGGAAAUAAGAGACAGCUGUGAAGGCUGGACUGGAUGUUACUCCUGAAACCUGCCACCAAACCUAGACCAAGAAGGACACCUCACCAGCACUGGAGAGUGCCUUAAACUGGGAGAUCUCAACAAGCUGAUCCUCAUGACUGGCUCUCUAAAGCUGUCAAACUGAAGGACAAGUUUGAAUGAACUCUCAAAAUCAACAUGUCAACACUCAGGGAAUGUUUUUUAGAUGGCUUACCUGGCCAAGAUGAAUGUCAAACCUGAGGACUGUAAUGCAUUAGCAGUAGAUCUGAACACCAUCUGAGGACACUUGAAUCUAUGUGGUUUUUGUGGACCCAUCAAGCCUUUAAAGUGAGGUUGAGAGCAGCAAAGGGCUGGAGUUGAAAAUCACAUUAGAAAUUCUUCAAAUGGGAUGGCACUUGUCAGCUGACAGUAAAGGAAUUUUAAGAGACUACAAAGCUUACAAAAGGAAAUUCACCUCAGUGUGCUCAUAUUGGGCCUGAUUUGCUCAUUCAGCUGUGUUUUCCUGGAACGGCUGAAGUUGGAAGAGCUGAUUCCAAGCCUGAGGAAGCUGUUGAGUGAAGUGGUG
Long non-coding RNA from Prinia subflava (tawny-flanked prinia), 772 nucleotides. RefSeq lists it as uncharacterized. The transcript is spliced from 7 exons. The record is from RefSeq and is a predicted model, not a curated record. NCBI's taxonomy places the organism in Eukaryota, Metazoa, Chordata, Aves, Passeriformes, Cisticolidae.